CCGCCGUGCCACGCUCAGCGCUGCAGGCCAAACGCUGCAGGUCCUUGUCCUUCAAACGUGGAGAAGACCUCCAGGCCAUGGGCUGUGCUCUCACUCAGGCCUGACUUCUCAGUAAGACAGGAGACGGCACUGACCCAGAGGAGAGCUGCCCGGCACAGGGAUGCGGCCGGGGACGGGGUGGCUCUCAGGGGCCGGCUCCAGCUUCCUCAGAGAACAUGUGGAUCAGGAGGGGGACGCGCCACAAGCUGCCCUUGGCCACCUCUGCUUCAGAUGACAGCAUGAGAAGUCACGGAGUCUGUGGAGAGGGCUGGGCUGGAGCUUAGGGCCUCACUCAGGAGCCAACCGCUGACACCAAGCUGGACCAAAGACCCACCAUGGGGCGGAAGCCACCCCUCCGCUCCUCCCCGGCUGGCAGGCCCAUCGCCGAAGUCCACCUACCUGCUGCCGGCGGAGAACCAGACACGGCGAGGGUCAGAGGCUCCGGGCUGGGGCGGUGCAACUUCCAGUCAGACUCCCAUGGGGAGCUUCCAGGCCUUCGACCUCAGACUGGGGCUGUGUCCUGGAUCCUUCCUGGUUCCACGGCUUCCAGCUUCUCCGGCAGAGCAGCUCCUGGAUCCUCCAGGGCAAGACGACCACUGUGGAGUCCGCCUCUGAUCCUGUGAGCCACCGAGUAAAUCCCC
RNAcentral lists this long non-coding RNA (680 nucleotides) under Heterocephalus glaber (naked mole-rat). RNAcentral describes it as "lncRNA (ENSHGLG00100051178.1)". The record is from RNAcentral. Lineage: Eukaryota; Metazoa; Chordata; Mammalia; Rodentia; Bathyergidae.